This 89-nucleotide unclassified non-coding RNA is filed under the name Pseudomonas azotoformans. Lineage: Bacteria; Pseudomonadati; Pseudomonadota; Gammaproteobacteria; Pseudomonadales; Pseudomonadaceae. The record is from RNAcentral.
UGUGGGAGGGGGCUUGCCCCCGAUAGCAGUGUGUCAGCUAAAGAUAAAUGGGCUGAUCCACCGCCAUCGGGGGCAAGCCCCCUCCCACA